Molecule: microRNA precursor, 100 nt
Filed under: Clytia hemisphaerica
Lineage: Eukaryota; Metazoa; Cnidaria; Hydrozoa; Leptothecata; Clytiidae
Description: microRNA mir-598
Source: RNAcentral
AGUUAGUAAUUCUGUUGAAUGCAAUGGUGGAGUUGAUGGUUCUGGUGAAUGUGCAGCAGGAUGCAAACCAUCAACUCCACCAUUGCAUUCACCAAAACAA